Molecule: ribosomal RNA, 1605 nt
Filed under: activated sludge metagenome
Description: bacterial LSU rRNA
Rfam family: Bacterial large subunit ribosomal RNA
Source: RNAcentral
UGAGGGUAGGGGUGAAAGGCUAAUCAAAUUCCGUGAUAGCUCGUUCUCUCCGAAAUAGCUUUAGGGCUAGCCUCGCGUGGUCCGUCCCGGUGGUAGAGAUCUGAAUGAACUAGGGGCCUUCCCAGGUUACCGAAUUCAACCAAACUUCGAAUGCCGGGAAUGAGCAGCGCGGGAGUCAGACAGCGGGGGCUAAGCUUCGUUGUCAAAAGGGGAAGAGCCCAGACCAUCAACUAAGGUCCCUAAAUUCAUGCUAAGUGGGAAAGGAAGUCGGGAGCCUCAGACAGCCAGGAGGUUGGCUUAGAAGCAGCCAUCCUUUAAAGAAAGCGUAAUAGCUCACUGGUCGAGGACCCCGGUGCCGACAAUCCAACGGGGCUCAAGCAUGAUACCGAAGUUAUGGAUGCGCAGCAAUGCGCGUGGUAGGAGAGCGUUCCGACCGCAGCGAAGGUGUACCGAAAGGAGCAUUGGAGCGGUCAGAAGAGACUCUGCCAGCAUAAGUAGCGAGAAACCAAGUGAGAACCUUGGUCGCCGAAAGUCUAAGGAUUCCUGAGAAAGGUUAAUCCGCUCAGGGUUAGUCGGAGCCUAAGGUGAGGCCGAAAGGCGUAGCCGAUGGACAUACGGUUAAUAUUCCGUAACUGCCUUGUUUUUCGAUGCGGGGACGCAGCGUCGAGCUCCUGGUGAGCAAUGGUUACGAUCCAGGGGGGAGAUGAAGGCCGGAUAGGCAAAUCCGCCGGUCUGACUGCCGGGAAAAGCCGCUAAGGUUAGGAAUGAGGCAUCCGUACCACAAACCGACACAGGUGGACGAGUAGAACAUACUCAGGCGCUCGGGUGAUGGAUUGUUCAGGAACUAGGCAAAUUAGCUCCGUAACUUCGGGAGAAGGAGUGCCCCUGUAAAGGGGGCCGCAGUGAAUAGCGUCAGGCGACUGUUUAACAAAAACACAGGUCUCUGCUAAGUCGAAAACGACGUAUAGGGGCUGACGCCUGCCCGGUGCCGGAAGGUUAAAGGGAGAGGUCAGCGCAAGCGAAGCUUUGAACUGAAGCCCCGGUGAACGGCGGCCGUAACUAUAACGGUCCUAAGGUAGCGAAAUUCCUUGUCGGGUAAGUUCCGACCUGCACGAAUGGCGUAACGAUCUGACGACUGUCUUAACAAUCUGCCCGGCGAACUUGUGGUUCCGGUGAAGACGCCGGAUGCCCGCAUCAAGACGGAAAGACCCCGUGCACCUUUACUAUACCCUAUCAAUGAACUAUGGGGUGCUCUGCGCAGGAUAGGUGGGAGGCUUAGAACCCGGUUUUUUGGAAUCGGGGGAGCCAACGGUGAGAUACCACCCUGAGCAUUCUGUGGUUCUAACUUACUUCCCUAAACGGGAAGAAGGACAUUGGUAGGCGGGUAGUUUGACUGGGGCGGUCGCCUCCUAAAAUGUAACGGAGGCGCUCGAAGCUUGGUUCAGGAGGCUUGGAAAUCCUCCAUCGAGUGCAAAGGCAUAAACCAGGUUGACUGCGAGACCAACAAGUCAAGCAGGUGCGAAAGCAGGACUUAGUGAUCCGGUGGUUCUGAAUGGAAGGGCCAUCGCUCAACGGAUAAAAGGUACGCCGGGGAUAACAGGCUGA